This 21-nucleotide non-coding RNA is filed under the name Rattus norvegicus (Norway rat). Lineage: Eukaryota; Metazoa; Chordata; Mammalia; Rodentia; Muridae. The record is from RNAcentral.
GUGAAUGUUGGCCUUGAAGGA